Molecule: ribosomal RNA, 503 nt
Filed under: uncultured bacterium
Lineage: Bacteria
Description: bacterial SSU rRNA
Rfam family: Bacterial small subunit ribosomal RNA
Source: RNAcentral
GACGAACGCUGGCGGCGUGGAUUAGGCAUGCAAGUCGAACGGUAUCAUCCUUUCGGGGGUGAGAGAGUGGCGAACUGGUGAGUAACACGUAGGUUAUCUACCCUCAAGACGGGGACAACCCAGGGAAACUUGGGCUAAUACCCGGAUGUGAGCAACUUUUAGUUGUUUGAAAGGUGGCGUAAGCUGUCGCUUGGGGAUGAGCCUGCGUCCUAUUAGUUAGUUGGUGAGGUAACGGCUCACCUAGGGCAAUGAUAGGUAGGCGGCCUUAACGGGUGGUCGCCCACACUGGGAUUGAGAUACGGCCCAGACUCCUACGGGAGGCAGCAGUCGAGAAUAGUCUACAAUGGUCGGAAGACUGAUAGUGCGACGCCGCGUGAACGAUGAAUCCCUUCGGGGUGUAAAGUUCUUUUAUAUGUGAGCAGUGCUUCUUAUAUUAACAGUAUGGGGAGAGAGAUAUUAGCAUAUGAAUAAGCAACGGCUAACUCCGUGCCAGCAGCCGCGGU